RNAcentral lists this long non-coding RNA (485 nucleotides) under Ananas comosus (pineapple). RNAcentral describes it as "long non-coding RNA (ACOM_LNC034130)". The record is from RNAcentral. Lineage: Eukaryota; Viridiplantae; Streptophyta; Magnoliopsida; Poales; Bromeliaceae.
AAAAAAGUUCAAAAUACAAAUAAGUUAUUACUCUCAUUUCUAAUGUAUUUGAAACAUUUGAAUUUUAUUUUGAAUUGUGAUUGAUAUUUUUAAUUUUUACCAUUAAUAUUAUUAAAUUAUAUAUAUAAUAUUAUUAAAAAUUAUUAAUUUAUAUUUUACAAAAUAUUAAUAAUAUUAUAAUUUUAUAAAAAAUAUUAGUUGACGGGACGGAUUCGGGGCGCCGGCGGUAGGCGGGUUACGAGACGGGACGAAUUAUGAGAUGUAUUUUUUAAUCCGUUACGGAUUUAGGGCGGGAGGCGGGGCAGAAUUUUGCUAGUCGGGGCGGGAGGCGGGGCGGGUCUUCCGCCCCCAGAUCCGUCCCGUUUGCAUCCCUAUCAAUUACUAUUAGCUUCCGCAAAAUUCUGACAUGUCACGUAUACCAAUCUAUACAAUCUUACUAUUUGGGACUACUAUUCUGCCACGUGGCAGCCUCUCAUUCCCCCUCC